This 72-nucleotide transfer RNA is filed under the name Marmota monax (woodchuck). RNAcentral's name for it is "tRNA.Val". The record is from RNAcentral. Lineage: Eukaryota; Metazoa; Chordata; Mammalia; Rodentia; Sciuridae.
GGGGAUGUAACUCAAUGGUAGAAUGCAUUCUUAACAUUCAUGAAGCCCUGGGUUCAAUCACCAGCACCUCUC